AGAGAGAGAUGGGUUCGAGAGAGAGACUGCGUGAGAGAGAGAGAUGGGUUCGAGAGAGAGACUGCGUGAGAGAGAGAGAUGGGUUCGAGAGAGAGAGAGAGAGAUGGGUUCGAGAGAGAGACUGCGAGAGAGAGAGAUAUGGGUUCGAGAUAGAGACUGCGUGAGAGAGAGAGAUGGCUUCGAGAGAGAGAGACUGCGUGAGAGAGAGAGAGAGACUGCGAAAGAGAGAGACUGCGAGAGAGAUGGCUAAGAGAGAUCAGAGGUUCAUGGUUGCAGAGAUCAGAGGUUGAAGAGAUCAGAUUUGCUUUGGAUUGAAGUCGGCGACAGAUCUAGGUUAGAAAAAUUAAUGGCAAGACUUUGUAAUUUUUAAAAUAAAAUAAGGGUAUUACCGAUUUUUAGCACUUUUGGAUGAGCUUGCUGUAGUUGGAAGCGUUCAAACAUCUCAUCAAGAAAUCCCGAAAAAUCCGGAUGAGUUUUCAAAAUUAAUCUGGAUGCCGCGUCCAACUUAACCUCCUGUUUCGCGCCAAACAAAC
Molecule: long non-coding RNA, 533 nt
Filed under: Brassica napus (rape)
Lineage: Eukaryota; Viridiplantae; Streptophyta; Magnoliopsida; Brassicales; Brassicaceae
Description: long non-coding RNA (BNAP_LNC013937)
Source: RNAcentral